This 460-nucleotide ribosomal RNA is filed under the name uncultured bacterium. RNAcentral describes it as "partial 16S ribosomal RNA". It matches the Rfam family "Bacterial small subunit ribosomal RNA", at positions 338 to 795 of the family's 1533-position model. The record is from RNAcentral.
CCUACGGGUGGCAGCAGUGAGGAAUAUUGGUCAAUGGACGCAAGUCUGAACCAGCCAUGCCGCGUGCAGGAAGACGGCUCUAUGAUUUGUAAACUGCUUUUGUACGAGGGUAAACGCAGAUACGCGUAUCUGUCUGAAAGUAUCGUACGAAUAAGGAGCGGCUAACUCCGUGCCAGCAGCCGCGGUAAUACGGAGGGUUCAAGCGUUAUCCGGAUUUAUUGGGUUGAAAGGGUGCGUAGGCGGUCGGAUAAGUUAGAGGGGAAAUCCCGAGGCUCAACUUCGGGAUUGCCUUUGAUACUGUUGGGCUAGAGGGUAGGUGAGGUAGGCGGAAUGUAUGGUGUAGCGGUGAAAUGCUUAGAGAUCAUACAGAACAACGAUUGCGAAGGCAGCUUACCAAGCUACUUCUGACGUUGAGGCACGAAAGCGUGGGGAGCAAACAGGAUUAGAUACCCCUGUAGUC